GAUGAACGCUGGCGGCGUGCCUAAUACAUGCAAGUCGAGCGAACGGACGAGAAGCUUGCUUUUCUGAUGUUAGCGGCGGACGGGUGAGUAACACGUGGAUAACCUACCUAUAAGACUGGGAUAACUUCGGGAAACCGGAGCUAAUACCGGAUAAUAUUUUGAACCGCAUGGUUCAAAAGUGAAAGACGGUCUUGCUGUCACUUAUAGAUGGAUCCGCGCUGCAUUAGCUAGUUGGUAAGGUAACGGCUUACCAAGGCAACGAUGCAUAGCCGACCUGAGAGGGGGAGCGGCCACACUGGAACCGAGACACGGGCCCGACUCCCAGGGGGGGCAGGAGUGGGGAAUCUUCCGAAAGGGGCGAAAGCCUGACGGAGCAACGCCGGGUGAGGGAUGAAGGUUUUCGGAUCGUAAAACUCUGUUAUUAGGGAAAAAAAUAUUGGUAAGUAACUGGGCACAUCUGGACGGUACCUAAUAAAAAAGCCGCGGCUAACUAGGG
This 496-nucleotide ribosomal RNA is filed under the name uncultured bacterium. RNAcentral describes it as "partial 16S ribosomal RNA". It matches the Rfam family "Bacterial small subunit ribosomal RNA", at positions 28 to 506 of the family's 1533-position model. The record is from RNAcentral.